UACGUAGGGGGCAAGCGUUAUCCAGAUUUACUGGGCGUAAAGCGCGUGUAGGCGGCUGGUUAGGCGUGAUGUGAAAUCUUCCGGCUCAACCGGAAAACUGCAUUGCGAACCGGCCUGGCUAGAGUGCAGGAGAGGGAAGCGGAAUUCCAGGUGUAGCGGUGAAAUGCGUAGAUAUCCGGAGGAACACCGGUGGCGAAGGCGGCUUCCUGGACCGACACUGACGCUGAGGCGCGAAAGCUAGGGGAGCAAACGGG
This 254-nucleotide ribosomal RNA is filed under the name uncultured bacterium. Its description in RNAcentral is "partial 16S ribosomal RNA". It matches the Rfam family "Bacterial small subunit ribosomal RNA", at positions 524 to 776 of the family's 1533-position model. The record is from RNAcentral.